RNAcentral lists this ribosomal RNA (497 nucleotides) under uncultured bacterium. RNAcentral's name for it is "partial 16S ribosomal RNA". It matches the Rfam family "Bacterial small subunit ribosomal RNA", at positions 28 to 507 of the family's 1533-position model. The record is from RNAcentral.
GAUGAACGCUGGCGGCGUGCCUAAUACAUGCAAGUCGAGCGGACAGACGAGGAGCUUGCUCCUCUGUCGUUAGCGGCGCACGGGUGAGUAACACGUGGAUAACCUACCUAUAAGACUGGGAUAACUUCGGGAAACCGGCGCUAAUACCGGAUAAUAUAUUGAACCGCAGGGUGCGAUAGUGAAAGACGGUUUUGCUGUCACUUCUAGAUGGAUCCGGGCCGCAUGAGCUAGUUGGUAAGGUAACAGCUUGCCAAGGCAACGAGGCGUAACCGACCUGAGGGGGUGAUCGGCGACACUGGAACUGAGACGCCGUCCAGGCUCCUACGGGAGGCAGCAGUAGGGAAUCUUCCGCAGUGGGCGGAAGCAUGACGGAGCAACGCCGCGUGAGUGAUGAAGGUCCUCGGAUCGUAAAACUCUGUUAUUAGUGAAGAACAAAUGUGUAAGUAACUGUGGACGUCGUGACGGUACCUAGUCAGAAAGCCCCGGCUAACUACGUG